Molecule: long non-coding RNA, 128 nt
Organism: Bradysia coprophila
Lineage: Eukaryota; Metazoa; Arthropoda; Insecta; Diptera; Sciaridae
Source: RefSeq, a predicted model, not a curated record
AAAAAAAUGAAGUACAAGAUUUUAAAUCAACAGAUUAAAAAUACUUUGAUCGAUAGAAGCAAUAGACCAGAUAAUAACAAUGGGUAUAUGCUCGCCGUCUGUAACAAAAGAAUACAAUUACCAUGCAU